RNAcentral lists this ribosomal RNA (639 nucleotides) under uncultured fungus. RNAcentral's name for it is "eukaryotic LSU rRNA". The stretch from base 243 to 396 matches the Rfam family "5.8S ribosomal RNA". The record is from RNAcentral. Lineage: Eukaryota; Fungi.
AGUAAAAGUCGUAACAAGGUCUCCGUUGGUGAACCAGCGGAGGGAUCAUUACAGAGUUGCAAAACUCCCACAAACCAUCGCGAAUCUUACCCGUACGGUUGCCUCGGCGCUGGCGGUCCGGAAAGGCCCUCGGGUCCUCCCGGAUCCUCGGGUCUCCCGCUCGCGGGAGGCUGCCCGCCGGAGUGCCGAAACUAAACUCUUGAUAUUUUAUGUCUCUCUGAGUAAACUUUUAAAUAAGUCAAAACUUUCAACAACGGAUCUCUUGGUUCUGGCAUCGAUGAAGAACGCAGCGAAAUGCGAUAAGUAAUGUGAAUUGCAGAAUUCAGUGAAUCAUCGAAUCUUUGAACGCACAUUGCGCUCGCCAGUAUUCUGGCGAGCAUGCCUGUUCGAGCGUCAUUUCAACCAUCAAGCUCUGCUUGCGUUGGGGAUCCGCGGCUGCCCGCGGUCCCUCAAAAUCAGUGGCGGGCUCGCUAGUCACACCGAGCGUAGUAACUCUACAUCGCUAUGGUCGUGCGGCGGGUUCUUGCCGUAAAACCCCCCAUUUCUAAGGUUGACCUCGGAUCAGGUAGGAAUACCCGCUGAACUUAAGCAUAUCAAUAAGCGGAGGAAAAGAAACCAACAGGGAUUGCCCCAGUAACG